Molecule: long non-coding RNA, 1549 nt
Filed under: Homo sapiens (human)
Lineage: Eukaryota; Metazoa; Chordata; Mammalia; Primates; Hominidae
Description: HSALNT0226355
Source: RNAcentral
CCUCUGGGAUUGUAGCACAGGGCAAGGUCCUUCCUCCACAAGCCGGCCCCUGUUGUGGGAGGUGCUGGACGUGGCAGGAGAAUUGUGGCGGCCUUGCCUGAAAGCAGGCUGUGGGCGGGGAGGGGCCCCGAGCUGGCUCAGUCCCCUCGGCAGAUUUGUGUGCGACCUGGGGUCCCGCUCUCCCCGCAGCCCCUCAGCUUGGCCUGGCCCUCAGCACCCCCAUGCUAAAGACCGAGGAGGAAAGGAGGACAGGAGGUGAGGGGAGACCAAGGGGUCCCCCCUGUGGGAGCUUCGUGUGCCAGGCUGCGGGCAACGGGCUGGGGAGGGCUGUGGUGGGGACCGCACCAGCUGUAGCCGGUUCCAGGCUCCCCCCUCCAGGUGGCCCUGGGCGGUGACAGCUCACCCUUGGCAGCGGCACCCACUAGGCCCAGCGGCCCCCUCUGGGGACAGCCAUCUUCACCCUGUUGGCUGUGGUGACACAGAUGGGGUGUGAAGACCUGAGCGCCUGUGACUAUGGCACCUGCAUCCGACCGAGCCGGCUCAGCGUGGCUGUGCCCUGGGCGGCGAGAACACAGCUCUGCAGAUGUGUCCCAGUGGGACAGUGUGCUCCUGGGGCUUGCAGAGAAAGACGGGCGGACGCCCACACUCUGCUGUGCCCUGGGUCUGAGCCUCAGCCUCCCAUGCCCGUGAAAUGGGCACCCAUGGAGCUCAGAAGUAUCCAGAGCGUCCCUGAGGCCUAGACACAGGGAACCCUGUGCCCCUCAGUGCCCCCCGACGCCAGCAGAACUGCCCCCUAAAAAGAGAGGCAUGUUCCUGACAGUCCCCCUUGAGGGCAGGUCCCAGAGCCUCCCCACGCACAGAGCAGGGUGGAGGGAGGCUGAGGGGUGGGUGAACGGCCCGGGAAGGGUGCCUUUGGGUCCCUUGGGUUCGGGUGGCCCGGGAUGACCCGUCCUGGGGAGAGUCCGUCUGGGCAGGCGGCUGGCAGGGCCGAUGCCUGAACUAUGUGGCACAGAAGCUGCAGGCCAGGCCUGAGUGGGGUGGGCAGGGAGCGCGGGGGGUGACUCAGUGGGGCAGGACAGCAUGUCUCCUGGACAGAAAUAGCCCUGGCCAGGCAUGACCGCGGCAUUGCCGUGGCGACGGGGGAGCGGCUGCUGCCGGGUGCCCUGGGGCCCACCCCCCACAGACACCCAGCAGCGUCCCAGGCGGGCCCCGGGAGGGCCGCCCCCUCUCCGUGCUGCGGGGCGCUUGUGCCAGUGAGGUGCGGGUGGAGGUGCCAGGCACUGGGGGAGGGGGCCUCAGCAAGACCCCCGACUCCACCCCUCUCUCCCAGCCUUCAGCUCCCUGCUGUACAGACUGGGGGCUCCUGGACGCCUGGGCUCACUCAGCCCCCGAGAGGAGUGGAUGAUCUUUCUAAAGGAAGGCGUUUGGGGUCCACCCAGAAAGUGGGGAGGGCUCCAUCCCUGGGUUUCAGGAUUUUACUACUAGACUGCGAAAGUCUGGGCCUCCUUUUUCAGCACAAGGCGGGCGGCCCCCGCGUGCCCUAGUCCAG